UAACAAGAAGCACUGUUUUGGUGUGUAUAGUUUCGGCCUAUAAGGAGGAGUGUUCCCUUGUUUU
This 64-nucleotide transfer RNA is filed under the name Parborlasia corrugatus (corrugated ribbon worm). RNAcentral's name for it is "tRNA-Arg". Lineage: Eukaryota; Metazoa; Nemertea; Pilidiophora; Heteronemertea; Lineidae. The record is from RNAcentral.